GAUAAAAGAAUGGAUUUGUUGCCAUAGCAUUUCAGUCUCCAAUACACAUCACCAUCAGUGCCUGUAAAGAAAGGCUCCGUCCUAACAGCUUCAGAGUUUUUGUUAUCUAUACAAACACACACAAAAAAAAAUUAGUCAGAACCCAACAUAAGAAAAGGAUCAACAUAAUCAUUGAAAUUCAAUAGGCCAGCCAUCAUGAACACAUAAGUAUUUUCGCAUAUCCCAUAUAGAACUCUCAUUUAAGAAUGAACUGAAAGCCUGGGUGCAGAAAUAGCAAUCUAUGUUACUGUAGUUUUGCUACGUUUUCCUUUACAUGACAGAGCUUGGUGUAGUGAUCUUCUCUUUAUCAUCUCUGAUUGCAUGGAGCAGGUGUUUAAUGAUUGUGAAAAAAGUAGGAUUUUCCAUCUUUUCACUAGCCAUUAUAUUACGGAAUGUGGGUUUAUGGCUGAGAACCUACUCAUUGUAUCAUCAAGGUACUCACGUAACUCCACUCCAGUCUACAUCAAUUAUUGCACUAUUCGAUAGAGUACCUGCUACCUCCCACCAGCGCAGAUAACGAUCAAGCUUCUUUUCUUAUAUAUGUAGUGUUGUCAAUAUCCAGUGGCCUAUGUAACUAGUGGAUUGUAGGUAAAGAAGAAGAAUAUGACUAAUAGCAAGAAAGUAUAUUUGUGGUUGUUGGUUCUGUUCAUGGCAAAUGGAUGGUGUUGUUGUUAUUGUUGUUGGAAUGAAUAAAGGACUGCUCUAUUGCAGCUCAAGGAAAACAUAAAAUACAGUACAGGCGACUACUAUUUGUCAUCGCGGGGGGCGAAUGAAACUGCGAAUUGUUGUCGAUGGGAGGGAAUUAUUUGUCAUCAAUGACUGUCACAUGAUUUAACAUGUCCAUUUUAAGUUUCUUGCUAAUUUGGUAACAGGUUUCGAAAAACUGAGACCACUGAAAAAACUGGAAGUACUUGAUUUGUCAGGGAGUAAGUCAUAAUCUGAACAGAGUUAAGACACUGCUUUCUUAGUAGAACAAUUAUAUUUUACUGGAGGCUAAGCUUGGUGGAGUUUACUGUAAUAACUUAUUAGCUAUAAGCUCGUAUAGAACAAUAAAUCUUUCUUUCUUUCUUUCUUUCUUUCUUUCUUUCCUUCUUUCUUUCCUUCUUUCUUCAAAAACGUAAUGAAAUGUUCUGAUAAAAGGUUCUCACCUCCUCCUCUUCAAGUGGUAGAAAUCAAUGAAAUAAAUUAGCUGAAAAUGAGAAAUUUGAGUCUUUACCCUGAUAUCUUCUGACUCUUGCAUCUUCUUAUCAGAAAACAUAUUAACAAAACUCUCAUGGAAACAGUUAUGCAACAUGAUUUACAACAAUUGAUGUCAGAGUUGAAACUGGGCUCAUAUACAACCACAAUGCAUCAGCCUCCUCACAAGAUAGAGAAGAAACAUGCCAGAUAAAUGCACCAUACAAAAGAUCAACUCUAUUUUUAAUUCAUUAGUCCACGUAAGUGUAUUAUAAAACAGACCUAUAAUCUAAAGGUUGUAGAUAAUAGUUUGUCAAUACCUCGACCAAUAUGCUUUGUAAAGCAAAAGCAACCUAGCACAGUUUUACUAUUUCAAUCAUUUCUAACUUUUGCAUAGAGCUAUGUAAUUGUGUAAAGAAGAACCUAAACCAUAGAUGAUUGAAAUUGAUUGAGAAAGAUGCAUCUGCUUUUAAGAACAUAAUGUGAGAUUUUGCAUACAAUGGAUGUUAUUUAUUCAUACUGAAAUUGAUUUAUAAGGCUAGACAACCAGUUGGUAUGUUUAUUUUAUUAUUUCUGUUACCUAUAUUUUUUAAGAAAAUAAAAUUUAAUAAGGAAAACAUGAGUUGGUCGGUCUUAGUAGGCUAGCUAACUUAUGAACCACCAUAGGAUCGGAGGUAAGGUUUAUGUGCCCCACCUUGUAUUUUUUUUUAAUUUGUGAUAAGGCCUGAAAGAGAGAUGUCGUUCUAGAAGCACUGCCUUUCUUGGAAAGAUCUGGAGUUCCAUCCCUUCAAGUUAACAAUUUGAUAUGUAGGACAAAGAAGAACAAUCUAAACUGUCUGAUCCAUAUACAUACAUAUCUUUUUCAUUCAACCACAUCCAUGUUUCAACUUUAUCACCAUACUUGCCUUCCAACAGAAUGAACAUUUCAAAAAUAUUGUCUUUGUAUGAACAAGUUGGCCUCCCCCAUCAAAGUCAGACUGAAAACUAAGUACAAAUGCUAUAUAACACACCAACAACUUUGAUAAUACUUUCACUGUAUUAGACAUCAAGGAAAUGAACAAACCAACAAAAUAGGUAAAUCUUUCAUUGCAUUGGAUAUCAAAAAUGUCAGACCAAACCAUUCUAUCUAUAUUCCAUACUGGUGUAAAAGGGGAGUGCUAUGCUUCUUCGAGAAAAAAAGGUUAUUUUAUCUCGUCAUUUUCAGAUAUCCUCUUUGUCAUUGUUUCAAGCAGCUAGCAUUCUUUGCUUGCUUACUUUCAUCUUCCAAAACAAGUACCAUCUUUCCACUAUAAAUAAUUAUUUUGGCAAAAUCAAUGAAGGGUUGACCUUCUUAUAUUCAUCCUGUCAUCUUUGUUCUUAAAUAUCGAAUAACCAAAUGAGCAUUUUUUAGUACAUCCCUGCCCAAAAUUAUUUCCAUCGUAAAGCUAUCAUAAGAUCUUCUUUCAGUAGCUUAACAUGGUGUAUCUGAAACAGAAAGGGGCACAUAUCCUUCAUCUUAAAACAAAAUUUUAAAUUUUUUAGAUAUCUGAUGAGUGAAUAGAUUUAGCAACAAACCUUUUAUUAUUUCAGGAUGCGUUGCUUUUAUUGGUUCUACCUCCUAUAUUCUUAUGAAGAAACUGAAUCUUUUUCUCGAAGGACCAGGGAAAAAUAAGUCCAAAAAUAUAUAACCAUUAAUGUGGGACUUGAGAAAUUCUUUUAUCCCUAAAACGACAUAAAUUACACGAAACACACACAUAAAUGGAUAAACGAGAGGAUGAACAUAUUUUAACUCAAUCAACUGGUAUGGACUAUGGCAAGAUUACCCGUAUCAUCUUCCAAAAGUGGUGAGGAUUGCUUCAAGUGGGACCUGAAGCCGCAAGGCAAACUGUGAGAGAACAUAUUGUUCUAGAUGCUCUAAACAUUUCCAUGUCGUCAAUACACCU
This 3137-nucleotide long non-coding RNA is filed under the name Capsicum annuum. Its description in RNAcentral is "long non-coding RNA (CANN_LNC003628)". The record is from RNAcentral. Lineage: Eukaryota; Viridiplantae; Streptophyta; Magnoliopsida; Solanales; Solanaceae.